GGGUUUUGUGGCCACUCGAAGCCGCCCGACGGGUCGGAGGCUUCAAGCCACCCCGAGCAGCCUUAGCUGACGACUGUGGUGGUGAGCGUCGGGAAAAGGCGCGCCGUGAGCGCGUCAGGC
Molecule: non-coding RNA, 120 nt
Organism: Frankia sp.
Lineage: Bacteria; Bacillati; Actinomycetota; Actinomycetes; Frankiales; Frankiaceae
Source: Rfam